RNAcentral lists this non-coding RNA (25 nucleotides) under Rattus norvegicus (Norway rat). Lineage: Eukaryota; Metazoa; Chordata; Mammalia; Rodentia; Muridae. The record is from RNAcentral.
UGUAUUCAAUUUGUAGACGGGUGGG